Molecule: ribosomal RNA, 427 nt
Filed under: uncultured Oscillibacter sp.
Lineage: Bacteria; Bacillati; Bacillota; Clostridia; Eubacteriales; Oscillospiraceae
Description: bacterial SSU rRNA
Rfam family: Bacterial small subunit ribosomal RNA
Source: RNAcentral
UGGGGAAUAUUGGGCAAUGGACGCAAGUCUGACCCAGUAACGCCGCGUGAAGGAAGAAGGCUUUCGGGUUGUAAACUUCUUUUAAGGGGGUAACGAGUAGAUGACGGUACCUGGAGAAAAAGACAACGGCUAACUACGUGCCAGCAGCCGCGGUAAUACGUAGGUUGCAAGCGUUGUCCGGAUUUACUGGGUGUAAAGGGCGUGUAGGCGGAGAUGCAAGUUGGGAGUGAAAUCCAUGGGCUCAACCCAUGAACUGCUCUCAAAACUGUAUCCCUUGAGUAUCGGAGAGGCAAGCGGAAUUCCUAGUGUGGCGGUGAAAUGCGUAGAUAUUAGGAGGAACACCAGUGGCGAAGGCGGCUUGCUGGACGACAACUGACGCUGAGGCGCGAAAGCGUGGGGAGCAAACAGGAUUAGAUACCCUGGUAGU